UUGAGAGCUUGCUUUUGAUUAUUUUAGCGGCGGCCUGAUGAGUAACGUGUGGGCAACUUACCUUUUACUGUGGAAUAAUCGUUGGAAACGACGACUAAUACCGCAUACGGUUCUUGGAAGGCAUCUUCUAUGAAAGAAAGGAGUAAUUCGGUAAAAGAUGGGCCCGCAUCUGAUUAGCUAGUUGGUGAGAUAAUAGCCCACCAAGGCAACGAUCAGUAGCCGACCUGAGAGGGUGACCGGCCACAUUGGGACUGAGACACGGCCCAAACUCCUACGGGAGGCAGCAGUGGGGAAUAUUGCACAAUGGGCGAAAGCCUGAUGCAGCAACGCCGCGUGAAGGAAGACGGUUUUCGGAUUGUAAACUUCUAUCAAUAGGGAAGAAAGAAAUGACGGUACCUAAAUAAGAAGCCCCGGCUAACUACGUGCCAGCAGCCGCGGUAAUACGUAGGGGGCAAGCGUUAUCCGGAAUUACUGGGUGUAAAGGGAGAGUAGGCGGCAAGGUAAGCGAUAUGUGAAAGCCUUAAGCUUAACUUAAGGAUGGCAUAACGAACUAUCUAGCUAGAGUACAGGAGAGGAAAGCGGAAUUCCUAGUGUAGCGGUGAAAUGCGUAGAUAUUAGGAAGAACACCAGUGGCGAAGGCGGCUUUCUGGACUGAAACUGACGCUGAGGCUCGAAAGCGUGGGGAGCGAACAGGAUUAGAUACCCUGGUAGUCCACGCUGUAAACGAUGAGUGCUAGGUGUCGGGGAGGAAUUCCCGGUGCCGGAGCAAACGCAAUAAGCACUCCACCUGGGGAGUACGACCG
Molecule: ribosomal RNA, 803 nt
Filed under: uncultured bacterium
Lineage: Bacteria
Description: bacterial SSU rRNA
Rfam family: Bacterial small subunit ribosomal RNA
Source: RNAcentral